Molecule: long non-coding RNA, 894 nt
Organism: Bactrocera tryoni
Lineage: Eukaryota; Metazoa; Arthropoda; Insecta; Diptera; Tephritidae
Exons: 3
Source: RefSeq, a predicted model, not a curated record
CCGCGCUAUUGAAAGUGAAUUCGAAUUGUGUUUUCAAGUGUUAUAUUAUUUGUUAAAUUCUAUAUUUUUAAAAUGCGUUGUGCAGUGUUCGGUUGUAAUAAUAACAAUGGUAAAAAUACUGCUACGGAGUGGAGAUUUUUUCAUUUCCCUAAGGAUAAAGCCGCAUUAAAACAAUGGAUUCAAAUAAUGUACUGGAACAGAUGACGAAGCCGGUUUCAUCAAUGAGAGUCAUUGGUAAAAAUGGUUUGCUUCCAUUCCAAAAACGUAUACUCCAAAGCAAUAAUGCUUUGAAAUUGCUGCUGGAUGACUUAAGACAGCAGCACAAAAUUGAUUACGUUUUGACCUAUCGAUUGAAUCAGGCCGUUUUGGAAUUUUUUUUGGCGUAAUCAGUUCAAAAGGCGGUCUUCACGAUCACCCUGGCAGGCAGGAGUUCAAAUAUAGGCUGCGUUCCUAUAUACUUGGUCACAACGAAGGAGCGAUCACAGAAGAAGGCAAUGUUGAAGUCGACAACACACCAGAUUUGGAAGGAAAUUACUUAUCUCUAACCGGUAAUAUUUUUCAACGUGUGUCAGUUGAUCUGAAUUCCACUGACCCAAUCGAAAAAAUGAUCACUUGGAGAUUCUCAACAACGACGGACUUGAAAAUUGGCAGGGUACAUCUGCCACAAACUCGGUAAAGACAAUCCCGAAAUUUGUGCCAAUUCCGAAAAUUGUUCGUCCCAUACUUGGAUGGAUCACCUUUCUGAAGGAGGACUCUCAAAACCAACAGAUAUGUUGAUGGAGCAUUUGAGAGCCUUGCAAGCAAUAUUUGACGACGUCAAUGGUAAUGAUUUGCAUAUAAGUAUGUACAAAUUACGUCCAGAAACACAUAGAUUUAAGUGAUUUUGUAAAUUGU